This 364-nucleotide ribosomal RNA is filed under the name uncultured delta proteobacterium. RNAcentral's name for it is "bacterial SSU rRNA". It matches the Rfam family "Bacterial small subunit ribosomal RNA", at positions 1036 to 1401 of the family's 1533-position model. The record is from RNAcentral. Lineage: Bacteria; Deltaproteobacteria.
AGGUGCUGCAUGGCUGUCGUCAGCUCGUGUCGUGAGAUGUUGGGUUAAGUCCCGCAACGAGCGCAACCCUUGCCUUUAGUUGCCAUCAUUUAGUUGGGCACUCUAGAGGGACUGCCGGCGUUAAGCCGGAGGAAGGCGGGGAUGACGUCAAGUCCUCAUGGCCCUCAUGCCCAGGGCUACACACGUGCUACAAUGGCCGGUACAAAGGGUUGCGAACCCGCGAGGGGAAGCUAAUCUCAUAAAGCCGGCCUCAGUUCGGAUUGGAGUCUGCAACUCGACUCCAUGAAGUUGGAAUCGCUAGUAAUCGCGGAUCAGCACGCCGCGGUGAAUACGUUCCCGGGCCUUGUACACACCGCCCGUCACA